GAGGAAAAGAAAAUAACAAUGAUUUCCCUAGUAACGGCGAGUGAAGAGGAAAGAGCUCAAAGUUGGAACCUGUUUGGCUUAGCUAAACCGGAUUGUAAACUGUAGAAGUGUUUUCCAGACACGCCUGGUAAAAAAGUCCUUUGGAACAGGGCAUCAUAGAGGGUGAGAAUCCCGUCUUUGGCCAGAGCUGUUGUCUUUUGUGAUACAUUUUCAAAGAGUCAGGUUGUUUGGGAAUGCAGCCUAAAUUGGGUGGUAAAUCUCACCUAAAGCUAAAUAUUUGCGAGAGACCGAUAGCGAACAAGUACCGUGAGGGAAAGAUGAAAAGAACUUUGAAAAGAGAGUUAAACAGUAUGUGAAAUUGUUAAAAGGGAACCGUUUGGAGCCAGACUGGCUUGAUCGUAAUCAAUCUAAGCUUCGGCUUGGAUGCACUUGCGGUCUUUGCCUGCCAACGACAAUUUUUUUUGGAGGAAAAAACUAGGAGAAAUGUGGCCCCUCGGGGUGUUAUAGUCUCUUAGAAAAUACUCUGAAUUGGAUUGAGGAACGCAGUGAAUGCCUUUAGGCAAGAUUGCUGGGCGCUUUCGCUGAUAGGUGUUAGAAUUUCUGCCUUGGGUGGUGCUAAUAGUUAAAGGAGAAACUCGCUUAGUAUAUU
RNAcentral lists this ribosomal RNA (649 nucleotides) under Mucor koreanus. RNAcentral describes it as "partial large subunit ribosomal RNA". It matches the Rfam family "Eukaryotic large subunit ribosomal RNA", at positions 53 to 613 of the family's 3401-position model. The record is from RNAcentral. Lineage: Eukaryota; Fungi; Mucoromycota; Mucoromycetes; Mucorales; Mucoraceae.